This 237-nucleotide ribosomal RNA is filed under the name uncultured Glomus. Its description in RNAcentral is "partial 18S ribosomal RNA". It matches the Rfam family "Eukaryotic small subunit ribosomal RNA", at positions 651 to 886 of the family's 1831-position model. The record is from RNAcentral. Lineage: Eukaryota; Fungi; Glomeromycota; Glomeromycetes; Glomerales; Glomeraceae.
GGAUCAAUUUAUCGGUCGUGCAAUAGUACGUACUGGUUUUAUUGGUUCCUACCUUCCUGAUGAACCAUGAUGCCAUUAAUUUGGUGUCAUGGGGAAUCAGGACUGUUACUUUGAAAAAUUAGAGUGUUUAAAGCAGGCUCACGCUUGAAUACAUUAGCAUGGAAUAAUGAAAUAGGACGUUUGAUUCUAUUUUGUUGGUUUCUAGGAUCGACGUAAUGAUUAAUAGGGAUAGUUGGG